RNAcentral lists this ribosomal RNA (253 nucleotides) under uncultured bacterium. RNAcentral's name for it is "partial 16S ribosomal RNA". It matches the Rfam family "Bacterial small subunit ribosomal RNA", at positions 524 to 776 of the family's 1533-position model. The record is from RNAcentral.
UACGUAGGGGGCAAGCGUUGUUCGGAAUUACUGGGCGUAAAGGGAGCGUAGGCGGAAGGGUAAGUUGGGUGUGAAAUCCACAGGCACAACCUGUGGUUUGCUCUCAAUACUGCCUUUCUUGAGUAUUGGAGAGGGAGAUGGAAUUCCAGGUGUAGCGGUGGAAUGCGUAGAUAUCUGGAAGAACACCAGUUGCGAAGGCGGUCUCCUGGCCAAAUACUGACGCUGAGGCUCGAAAGCUAGGGGAGCAAACAGG